RNAcentral lists this ribosomal RNA (440 nucleotides) under uncultured bacterium. RNAcentral describes it as "partial 16S ribosomal RNA". It matches the Rfam family "Bacterial small subunit ribosomal RNA", at positions 338 to 795 of the family's 1533-position model. The record is from RNAcentral.
CCUACGGGAGGCAGCAGUAGGGAAUAUUGCUCAAUGGGGGAAACCCUGAAGCAGCAACGCCGCGUGGAGGAUGAAGGUUUUCGGAUUGUAAACUCCUUUUGUUAGAGAAGAUAAUGACGGUAUCUAACGAAUAAGCACCGGCUAACUCCGUGCCAGCAGCCGCGGUAAUACGGAGGGUGCAAGCGUUACUCGGAAUCACUGGGCGUAAAGAGCGCGUAGGCGGGAUAGCAAGUCAGAUGUGAAAUGCUAAGGCUUAACCAUAGAACUGCAUUUGAAACUGUUAUUCUAGAGUAUGGGAGGGGUAGGUGGAAUUCUUGGUGUAGGGGUAAAAUCCGUAGAGAUCAAGAAGAAUACUCAUUGCGAAGGCGACCUGCUAAAACAUAACUGACGCUGAUGCGCGAAAGCGUGGGGAGCAAACAGGAUUAGAUACACGAGUAGUC